This 557-nucleotide ribosomal RNA is filed under the name uncultured Wolbachia sp. RNAcentral's name for it is "bacterial SSU rRNA". It matches the Rfam family "Bacterial small subunit ribosomal RNA", at positions 94 to 686 of the family's 1533-position model. The record is from RNAcentral. Lineage: Bacteria; Pseudomonadati; Pseudomonadota; Alphaproteobacteria; Rickettsiales; Anaplasmataceae.
AGUGGCAGACGGGUGAGUAAUGUAUAGGAAUCUACCUAGUAGUACGGAAUAAUUGUUGGAAACGGCAACUAAUACCGUAUACGCCCUACGGGGGAAAGAUUUAUCGCUAUUAGAUGAGCCUAUAUUAGAUUAGCUAGUUGGUAAGGUAAUGGCUUACCAAGGCAAUGAUCUAUAGCUGAUCUGAGAGGAUGAUCAGCCACACUGGAACUGAGAUACGGUCCAGACUCCUACGGGAGGCAGCAGUGGGGAAUAUUGGACAAUGGGCGAAAGCCUGAUCCAGCCAUGCCGCAUGAGUGAAGAAGGCCUUUGGGUUGUAAAGCUCUUUCGGUGAGGAAGAUAAUGACGGUACUCACAGAAGAAGUCCUGGCUAACUCCGUGCCAGCAGCCGCGGUAAUACGGAGAGGGCUAGCGUUAUUCGGAAUUAUUGGGCGUAAAGAGCGCGUAGGCUGGUUAGUAAGCUAAAAGUGAAAUCCCAAAGCUCAACUUUGGAAUUGCUUUUAAAACUGCUAACCUAGAGAUUGAAAGAGGAUAGAGGAAUUCCUAGUGUAGAGGUGAAA